Molecule: long non-coding RNA, 1242 nt
Organism: Ostrea edulis (European flat oyster)
Lineage: Eukaryota; Metazoa; Mollusca; Bivalvia; Ostreida; Ostreidae
Exons: 2
Source: RefSeq, a predicted model, not a curated record
GUGACCUAUCCAAGCAAACCGAGUAUAAAAAUUGACCACCACGCGGAAAGCUCUUUAUUUGCUCCUGUUGAGGCGAUGGAGUGUUUUGUCAGCUAAUUUUUCAGAUGCAGUAAUGGACACGUUCCGGAGGCUGGAUUAUGACUGGAAGGCUCAAGGUCAACCAAAAGUGGCCCUAAUUCUGCUGUGGAGAUGUUUAAAGCUAGCCUGUCGUCUUAUGAUGAUGACAGUUAUUGUUUUCAAAAUCCCCUACUUAGCACGAAAAAUAUCAGAAUUCUUCAAAUCGAAGUCUGGGUCGAUGGUAGGAAAAGGAGCAGUAGUAACACUUUCCAUGAAAACUCUUCAAACACAAAUUAAAAACCAUGGCACUGAGAUUUUCCGACGUUCCGCCAUUGUAGGGAAAGUGGCACCAAAUUUGAAACUCGUGGACGUAAAGUCAAAAAAGUUGAUGAAACUGUUAGACUUUCAAACACCUGGUAGGCCUCUGAUUGUCAACUUUGGUAGCUGUACCUGACCUCCGUUCAUGAUGAAGUUUGCGAUGUUCAAGCAGAUUGUUUCUGAUUUUUCGGACACCGCAGACUUUGUUGUUGUUUACGUCAGAGAGGCGCAUCCCAUUGACGGAUGGAGCAUUUUAGGAACCAAAUACUCUCAUAUUUCUUCUCACACAUCUCAAAAAGAACGAUUAGACGCUGCUCGACUAUUGUUAAACGAGGGCUGUCCGUGCCCACUACUUAGUGACACCAUGGAUAAUGCUGGUGCCAUUCAAUACGCCGCCGUUCCCGAAAGGUUGUUCAUAAUCUAUGAUAACAUCAUCCAGUAUGCAGGCCAAGGCGCAGGCCCGGAAAACUACAAACCGGAAGCUGUCAUUCAGUGGCUGACCAAUUAUCGACGUGCAAAGUAAUUUGAAAUCGGAUAUUCAUGAUAGAACACUAUGACAGAAAAACUUUUCCGUAAGGAACCAUAGUUUUAUGUUCAUCUGUCAUUACAUAUUGACUUUAACGUGUCAUUCUCUAGUAAUCUUCCUUGCUUUUAAGCUUUUCUUGGAAAUGACGAUGAUGUUUGAAAGUGUAAAUGAAAACUUAACUUCAUCUGAAGAAUGGAAAUAAGACUGUUUAAAAGUGACUUGAUUACAGGAUUUAAUUAAAAUGCUAGUUACUCAUUUUAACAACUUUUCAGGUUCAACGCCAUCUUUAGAUUAUAAGGGACCACUUAGAGUGUCAUCUUAAAUAAAAUUAAAUUUCCAUA